UCCCUUCAGGAGGAUGCUCUAGGGGUGCAGGAGUGGCAAGGUGAUGUGGGAUGUGAUGUGUGCUUUGAGCAGGCCUGGUUGCUUGCUGUUAGGAUCCAAAACUGAGUCGAGGUGGUGAUAUAUUUUCAGCUCUCCUUAAUGUCAGGAGGCAUCAUUGCUCUUCAAAGUGGCAAAUAUGAACACAGAUACGAGCUCUACUUGCUUAGACUCUCAUUUUGGAGCCAGGGUCUCACAACCCGUCAGAAGACCGUGAAGUUUCCCAUGCUACAGGGGAAUGCGUAAAUCUCGAUUAAAUUGUUCAUUUCAUUGAGACUUGAGAAUACAACGAAACCAGUUGUGUUGUUCCACCAAAAGUAAUAAAACAGGCUGAUGUUGUUCCUCAACUA
Molecule: long non-coding RNA, 386 nt
Organism: Anas platyrhynchos (mallard)
Lineage: Eukaryota; Metazoa; Chordata; Aves; Anseriformes; Anatidae
Source: RefSeq, a predicted model, not a curated record